ACGAACCGCCCAAACGUUAUUCGGAAUUACUGGGCUUAAAGGGUACGUAGGCGGUGCGGUAAGUUGGAUGUGAAAUCCCACGGCUCAACCGUGGAACUGCGUUCAAUACUGCCGUGCUUGAGGGAGACAGAGGCGAGCGGAACUGAUGGUGGAGCGGUGAAAUGCGUUGAUAUCAUCAGGAACACCCGUGGCGAAAGCGGCUCGCUGGGUCUCUUCUGACGCUGAGGUACGAAAGCUAGGGGAGCGAACGGG
RNAcentral lists this ribosomal RNA (252 nucleotides) under uncultured bacterium. RNAcentral's name for it is "partial 16S ribosomal RNA". It matches the Rfam family "Bacterial small subunit ribosomal RNA", at positions 525 to 776 of the family's 1533-position model. The record is from RNAcentral.